RNAcentral lists this ribosomal RNA (253 nucleotides) under uncultured bacterium. Its description in RNAcentral is "partial 16S ribosomal RNA". It matches the Rfam family "Bacterial small subunit ribosomal RNA", at positions 524 to 776 of the family's 1533-position model. The record is from RNAcentral.
UACGUAGGGGGCUAGCGUUGUCCGGAUUCAUUGGGCGUAAAGAGCUCGUAGGCGGCCUGUUGCGUCCGCUGUGAAAGCCCGGGGCUCAACCCCGGGUCGGCAGUGGAUACGGGCAGGCUAGAGGUAGGUAGGGGAGAAUGGAAUUCCCGGUGUAGCGGUGAAAUGCGCAGAUAUCGGGAGGAACACCGGUGGCGAAGGCGGUUCGCUGGGCCGUACCUGACGCUGAGGAGCGAAAGCGUGGGGAGCGAACAGG